CAGGUGCACAAAGGUGAUAUUUCUACGAGCUGUUCACCAGCAGCUUGCUCUAGAAUUCCGAGAUGCCCAGACUGCUUCUAUGGAAAAUUUACUAUAUUUAAAAGAGAAUCUAAUAAUUCCAAAUAAACUUCGUUUCUGUGAGCUAAUCAUAAACAAGGCAAGAGGCAAAAGUGGCCCAGUAAGUUUUCUUUUUUGAUGUUCCUUUGUUUUACAUUGAAAGUAGUUUGAUCAUUAUUUUAUGCUAAGUUGAAAAAAAUUGAAGGGAAACUAAUGAGGAAUCAAAAUAUGAGUACGGAUUACUAAGUUGCGUUAAUUAUCUAUUUCUGAUGUUAACAACUUAACAAUAAUCCUGCCAAUAAGGCUGAAAUCAUUGACAUGAUGAGGAUUCUUUGUGCUGCUAUUCUGCUAUACCUGCUGCUAUUCUGCUAUGCCUACUUUUUGGUGUUUGUGUUUUUAUGUUCAGCUUGUAUAUGGAGUGAAACUCUGCAAACUCUGCCACUAUAAGCCUUCAGUUUAGUCAAAAUGAAAUUGCUAGCUAUACAUUAAUAACUACUAAUAUCUGCUAGGAUAAUGCUUUGGGAUCUCUAUGAUUUGUGAAAAUAUUUUAUUAGUAUAUAUGGAGUGAAACACUCUGCAUUCUACAACUAUAUAUUUUAGAUGAAGUCUUCUAUUAGUGAUGUUCAAAUGACAUGACUAGAGGGAGUAUCUCAUCCUGUCAAAAGUAAAUAUGCCUAAUUUUGUGUUUCUAUGCCAACUUCUUGAUGCAUAAAUAGAGAGAAUGUUCAAGCUCAGAUGUACAUUAACUUCUUAAGGUAGCUCUAAAGAUGACAGUGUCCUAGAAUCCAGAUAUCGUCUACCGCAACUACAUCAAGUAGAGUUGUAGGGGGUCUAUUCCAAAAGCACUACAUUGAGUGCUAGUUAUGGCAAGUUUUACACUCAGUUGCAAGUUUGCAAUGCUACCAGAAAAAAGGUCUUUAAAGCUAGAUUUAUGAGGGUAUUCAAUAAUUCGAAGGAGCGGCCUUUCACCUCUGAGGAGAUAGAUGAAGUUCGAGAAAUAAUGUUGGCAAACUUCAUUACAAGUGAUUGUCUUUGAUAUUUUUUCUUGUACUUAAUCUUAAAUUGUGGAUGCUAGUUUUUCAUAUGAUUGUAAUGUAAUCGACUUUUAUAUUUACAAUUAUAUACUAUUUAAUUAUCUAUAUAAUUUGAUAC
Spinacia oleracea (spinach) is the source of this 1209-nucleotide long non-coding RNA. RefSeq lists it as uncharacterized. The transcript has 3 exons. Lineage: Eukaryota; Viridiplantae; Streptophyta; Magnoliopsida; Caryophyllales; Amaranthaceae. The record is from RefSeq and is a predicted model, not a curated record.